CGUACUAUCAUGGAUGUACAUCCGCUUAAGUCUACGUAAAGAUAUAGAUAAUUUGAAUCACAUUGGUUUGUGGAAACAUUUAAAUUUGUUUAUUGUCUAUGCAGCGAUAAAAUUUACGAACAGCAGUUAAUAAGAAAAGCUGGCUAGUGUUGAUCAUCAACCUAUUUUAGCUUACUUUGUUAUUUUCCAUAGAUUUAUUAGCAUCUGGUACGCUGGCAGUGCUUUGUGUUUCGUUUGUUUUGCGUAAUUAUUGAUAGCAGGCAACAUUGCAGUUUUCAACUAAAAUAGUUUCUCGAUUCUCAGCUAUUGAUUGUGAACUAAAUAAUUUUGGAAAAAAUUGAAAUGCAACAUAAGUUUUUUUUUUUUUUGAAGAUACGAAGGCAUAUCCAAAAGGGUAGCUGCAGCCGGUUCUUUGCCGAAACCCCCAACGGUCAAAAAUUCCACAUGACUUGAAGCAUCUGCUGUUCUGGCAAAUAAACAAACGGCUAGUUUAGGGUCGACUUUUUGAGGAUUGUUACGCCAAAAUGCAGACCCACUUGGGGGCUGACUGACAAUUUCAAUGCCGGCAAUCUACUCAGCUCUAUUUUUAAUAAUGUUAGCUUAUAAACGUAAUAUGAUGCAAGUGUACAUGCAUAAAUGUAAUUUUCCUAAUCUUAUAGACAAUACUGAUAAUGCUUUCAACUCGUAAACUUAUGGCAUCAUUUGUACAAUACAAACAUAGGAAAAUCAUUAGUUCAGCUAACAAUAGGAAGUAUCUAGAUGUGAAAAUUGGGUGGGUAAACGGCAACGAAAAACGAGCAAAAGUGGGCGUCGGAACUACGCAGUAAGCUCGAAUCGUUAGAAAAGCGUACAGACAUGACAAAGACGAGAUAAUGCUCAGCAGCAAAUCAAAGAGAGAACAUGGAAGAAAAUGGCAACAAGGGUAUAUAAACGGAUCAAUACGGACCCCAUGUCACGUAGAACCCUCUCCAAUAUCGAGAAUGUUCUAGAUGGUAGGGACAAGCGUAUAAAAGCGCGGCCGUUUUGGGAAAACUGUGCAGUUAUUGGUGAGUGCUCUUUUGCUGCGUAUGCUGUUAGUGUCUGAGUGCGCCACGUCAUCAAGCUAAGAGGAUGGGUGAGAGGUGUAUAGUUAGAAAAGCCAGCUGGCGACGCCAUAUCCUAGUCAGGUUUUGAUACAAUCGAAUUUCUAUUGCAUACAUUUACGUUUCUUUAAUAAUUAUUUGCAAAAGUCUGCUUAUAUUGCGUUCCGUUUGCAUCUGGCCAAUGCAAAUGGACGCCAUAUUUACUGUAGUUGCGAAUUCUUCUAGAAUCAUUAGCUACUAAAUUUGCAAAUGCUGUGUUACUCUCCGCAAAACGUACCAAGUUUCUGCAUUAAUUUCAGAGAAUUCCAACAUAUGCCGUUAUAAACAUCGUUCCUAUCCGUAAUCCAAAAUGGCGCCUUAAGAUAGGUAGGGUGCGGUCAUCUAGUCUACAGCGCAAGCGCUAUUGCGCUGCGCAAGACGAAAUCGAUAAUCACUACCGAAGCAGAAUUAAAAAUCCUAUAAUGGCGUAGAGGUUGACGGAAAUAAGUAUGGGUAUGAUUAAUAGUGACUUAAAUAUUUAAAACUUUAGAAAGAAGCCUAUUGCUUCGAUUAGGUCCUUAAAUAGGCCGAUGGCCGACCAUUCUAAGACAUUUUUCUAGAUUUUAUCAACGUUUCGAGCGAAGUCGAAGAAGUUAAUGCAGCGCGGGUUCAUAUUUACUCACUCCGGACUCAUUCCCCCUCUGCUGCCUCUUAAUAUAAAUUUUUUUCUUCAAUCGAUAUAUAAUAUGUGUUUAUAGAAUCUGUGAUGUCCUGGACAUAUAGAGAUCUGUUUAGCAUUAAAACAUACUCAACAUUGCCUACAAUUUAAUAACUAAUUUUAUAUUGAUCGACAUGAUACAAUAAGGUAUCGACUUUGAAAAUAUUCCUGAUAUUUUCGCAGAUAACCUUUGCAGAAUAAAAGUUAUUAAAUUGAAUACAAUUGGGCAUUGCCAUAUGCUUAAGCCACCGUGCUUACCUUUUAGCACGACAAUGCUAAUUCUGUAGCCCCCAUUUAUAUUUUAUCGAAAACAUGGCGUUUGUACAAACUAUGACAUCGUUCGUAAUAAAAACAUUUUUUUAACUAAAACCAACUCUUCGAAGUAUUAUUAAAAUAUACCAUUUUCCCACAAAAUGCAGUAACUACUGCAGACUGUGAUCGCUCUAGAGAAUCACUAAAGGUAAAACUAAUGGAAUUAAAAGUAGGUAUUAAAAUGCUACCCGACCCGACGUGAUCCAUUAAAUCUUCGAUAGGGGCGGGCCGUCAAGAAGUAAGUACAAAGUUAAAUUUUUUCUCACUAAGUUUAUAAUUGUGUGUUACUUUUCGAGCUAAUUGUUUGGCGGAAAGUUGACUAUUUAAAAGAUAUUUUAUUGCCCACAUUAUCUUCAGAUUUUUUGAAAAUACGAAUUUUUUAUACCGACGAGUAGGUACAGAAGCCGUAAUAUCCAUUGCGUGAUAUUACAUAUUUUAUAUUGAAAGUUGAGUGCUUUUCGUGCGUAAACAUAUCAUAAACAUGGGACAUAUUUACAAUACAAGCAAAUGAAACUUUAGAUUCACGAUUUUAAUAGGUGAAGAAAUAUUAUUUAUACUUUCAAGAAAACGAAAAAUGUCGCAUUGAGUUCCCUGUUUCGAGCUGCAGAUCCCGUUGCAUUUUGCCAUUUACAUACUGUACAAAUUUGGGUGCUGUACAAAAAUGAGUUUCUAUUAGUCUUUUACAUUACCACACGUCUCUACAAACCCCAAGCGCAUUUGCGGCAAUACAUGAAAAAUGUAGCGUUUAGACUAAGUAAUCGAUUGGGUUGUUGGGUAAACUACUUUGCGGCAUUCUGUUUAACACGAACUAACUCAAUAGCGAAUAAACUAAGUCGCAAAAUGAUCUAUAGAAAAUGAAAUCGACUUUAGGUAUUAACAUUCUUUUAGGUACAAUCUGAGAUAACCUGAUGCAAUAAUGCAACCAAUUUCCCCACUGUUUUUGCCUACCUGUUGAGUAUAUAAAUUUUCAUUUACAACUUUACUUCUUUCCAAAAGUACUGGACAACUGAAACGGCUUUAACCCUGCAAGCGGCAGAAUCAGCGGAGACAAAUACAUUAGGUAUUACCCGAGUAAAACUUCGAUAUACGCACUACAAUACCCAUAAAAAUAUACGCCGCGGCCAUAAACAUCCAUUCAGAACCGAUUAGGUACGCCGAAAUAACAACUGCAAAUAAUACGUCUUGAUAAAUAGGGUAUUGUUAGAAAUAUAAACGAUCAGCAAUCAAAGAUUUUCUUACAAAUGCAAACAUGGUCAAUCGUUAAAGUUGAGUAUAACAUGAAGAGCGCAAAUGGCAAGUCACAACCUAUUUAUGAUAGUUUUAAACUUACCUGGGCAUCCUUUACCUUUUGCAAGUGAGUCAAGAAUUCUCGAAUUUUCGAGUCCUCGGCUGCCAGAUUUGAAACAUUUCGUCUUGGACAUUCUGCAAAUUUGAAUAAAAUCACUAGUCUUUUAUUUAGCAAGCAUUCAUGAGAAUAUUCGGAAUGAAAUGCCAGUCCUUUAAAAUAAAGUAAAGCGAUUUUAAAAAUCGAGCCGUAUUAACAAUUUUUGUCUCAAAUAGUUCAAUUUGCCACAACUACCAGUUGUGAAGUGGCACAUGCAUCUGAAGUGCCGGCUUUGAAGUAAGACCAUCCUACUGUUUUUACCAUUACAAUUAGCUCGAACUGAGCGAUCAAUCUCUGACUUAUUUUAGGUCAAAAGUGUUUUAUCCUAUUACCUAAUCAAAGUUUUGCGCCCAGUCUCCAUCGAAUACGGCACUUUAAAUGUUUAUCAAAUUUACGAUGUUUAAUUUAUAAAACAUACAAAAAGCAUCUGUUUAAUUAAUUACGGCCUCCCUUUUUAAGUCAGCUACCAUCUUAACCGAUAUUAUCGGCAUAAAUACAUUUUCAGGAUUGAAGAAUACAAGGCACGAAUUGACACAGUUUUCCAUACGUUCAUUUGCGGUUUCUUUGUAUGCAAUUUCCAGCUCUAGCCAAGAUAAUGUGUAAUAUCUGUUGCGUACGAAUUUAUUGCAUACAGAGCCAUCCAAAAAAUUAAGAGCACUUUAGCAAUUGGCCAACGAAGUAACAAUUGGGCAUACGGUCUUAAGGGAUUCUGAUUGUAGAUUGAAUUUUACGCUAGUGGACAGUUUUCUGAUUUGUUGUUAUUUUUUUGUUUCGCUCUGUAUUAACGUACGAGUAAACUCGUGUCUAUUGGUGGCUUUGAGUACCGGACGUUAAGUAUAUGAUCUCGUUUUCUCCUAUUUUACUCUGGCUUUUCCUACUUUGUCUCGUAUAAAUCUUUAUUUCGUACGACUUUAAGCAUCUUUACUUGUUACUGUAACAAAGAUAGUUGCAAUUUGUCAUUUUUGCUGAAAAAUAUUGCUACUCGCCUUCCUGUCUUACUUUAAUAAGGUUAUAUGCAUUGCCCUGUAUAUCUAGACUUAACAAUAAUUAACUUUUCGCCAUGGAAUUGCUACAUUUACUAAUUUAAUAUUUGUGCAGACGCAAUAUUUAGGCUAACGUAAAAUUUAGGCGAUUUUUAUAGUUUUAAAUAUGUAAAAUAAUUACAUAAUCCGUCUCAAGUAUACAUAGAUAGUGAUUUCAAACAUUUUUUAUUGGCUAUUUUGCCUCGAAAAUAUUUGUCUUUUUAAUUCACCACCUAGAAGGUAUCUUUCCACAUACUUAGGCUUAAGCUGUCAUAAAAUUGCAAUUAGUAAAAAGAGUAUUUAGAAAAGUUACCGUUUAGAGUUAAGUUUCGACAGCAAAUUUACUGUCUUGAUUCAGAAGGUAUUUGAAAAGGAAUAUAUUAGUAAAUUGUUAAACAAUAAAUAAUUUAAUACAAAUCUGUAAUAAUUUGCUCUAGAAAUAUUUCGAUAUUUUUAAUCUUGUUACAUGUUUGUUCUGUCAUCUACUGUUUAGCAAUUUACUAAUACACACUUGUUUAAAUAUAUUUCGAUAAAUAUUUCAGAAUUGCUAUCGAAACGUCAACUUUUCUAAAUUAAUUUCUAUACUAACUAGUAAAUACCCAACGAAAAGGUUUUGAAAAAAUGUAUACUUGCCGUACUGUUUGGUUUUUCUACAAAUAACUGCUUUAAAUUUAGCUGCAACUAAUUUCAAUUUUGUCCGUAAAAUAAAACUACUACUAAGUUUGCCAACUUUCAUUUAUCUCUAUCUUAACAUGUUACAACCCGUGUUUAAUUAUUUUAGGAGACUUGGGUUUAACAAUCAAUUAGGCACAAAAACAAUGUUCACGUCCUUGGGGUCUUAAAUAGCAGUCAUUCUAUCGAAACAGUUUUCAGUUUACUACUAUAAUUGUGGAGACAUAAAUUGUCGGAUACACAUACAUUGCCUAGAAUUUCCAACAUGUAAAAUUACUUCGGUAAUUUUACAUAAUAUUAUAUUUCGUUCGGGCUGACACACUCAUUUUUCCACAUAUUCACCUAUGUAUGAGCUUUUAGAAAAAAAAACUGGCGUUUUUAAUGAAGUCCUGCAGAUUUAGAUAAUUAUUUCUAAGUUCUUCAUCGUUAAUGUGCAUUGACUUGGGCUGUUAAUGUAACUUCUAUUAUUUGUUCUCUUUGAUUGAUUUUCAUUAUACCGCUAACAUAAACCACUCGGCUUAUUUGGAUAUGUUGAAUGUGUUUUGAACUUCUUUUUAACUAUAACUGGUUGUCUGUUGUUCUGUCUAAUUUUUUAUAACUUUGAAUUGCAAUUACGCAAAUGCAUUCUUCACCCAUUUUUUACAUUUUACGUACUCAUUAUUCGUGUGUAAUUAUGCUUAUAUAUUUGUUAUAUCCAUGUCGAACUAAAUAUGCUUUGUAAAGUUUUAUUCCAAUUUUAUAUGGAGUUGAAAAUUAACACUACGUAUAUUGAAUUUUUAGCUCAGCAGAAAACUGGCAUUGUUUUAAUAUCACGUCGUCAUCACUUUACAUAUGCACGUUUUAAUUAAAUAUCUUUGAUAAGCAGACGUUAUUAGACUAUUUUAAUGUAAUUAUUACCUUAUAUGUGCACAUACAAUAAUUAUCAUCGCCAUUAUUCUAAAGGUUUAUUUUUACUAACAAUAUUUUGAAUAUGAAAUCUAUGUAUUAUUUUUAUGAAUUCUUAUCGCUAGUUUAAAAGUUUACUUACACACUCGCUAUCUUUAACUUGAGUUUUGCAUAAAAUAAUAAUGAUAUAUUUAAUUAUUAUGAUUAUCAUUUUAUAGUAAGCAGGGAUCUCACUAGGAGGUUUUAGUUUACUUCGUAAUAUAUUUUAAAAGAAUGUUUCUAAAAAUAUAGUUUUUAACUCCCUUAAUUUGGGGUACUAUGGUUAAUAUCUUCAAGCAUAGAAGAAAGGCAGUUGUUAUUUGUUCAAUUUAAUUAAAUUUAUUUAGAAUAUGAGAAGUAAAAAUCCGAGUAAAACUUACAUAAAUUAGUGGUGAGAGAUAUUCCUUUCCCUCUUAUAGAUUUAUAUAAUUUUGCGUAAAUCAUUCUUGAUUUCUUUAAAAUGGUGAGUUUUUGACCCAAUAGUUAAAGAUAAAUAAAUUUAAAUUUGAAUAGCAAACUAAGAAACAUUAAGAACAAGAUAUAAUGAAGCAACAGAAGUGCUAUUAUAGAACAAAUAAAAUUUGUGAUUUUCUCAAGCUUAUUUUGUACAUUUCCUUCAAUUCUUGCAUUAGCAGAGUAAAUAAGGACCGACUAAGAGACAGUAAGUAAGACUGCUUGAUUUCUUGUGUAAUUAAAAUAAUUUCGUAUUUAAGCAACCAAUCAUUUUGAUUCACACACUAAAGAAGUAUUGUUUAGCUUUUUUAUUUAAAUUUAAACAUUAGGAAAAUUAGGCGUUUGUGCUGUGUAUUUUAUUGAAAAAUAUAGAAGUUACUAACAUUUAAGCAAAUAUCCAAACAAGUUAGAUUUAAGCAUAAGCUGAAAUGCAGGUAUUCGUUUAUCAUCUUGGCGCUUCUGAUCUGGCUCGCAACAUUUGUUAACCAGGUUCCAUUUGGCGAUUCUUUGCGACUUGGUCACGAGCUGUGAGUCGGCAACACAAAUGUAGCAUUUAAGAACUAACUGCAUUAAUAUUAAUGCCUUUUCGCAAUGGAUCGCUCUACAAGGUGAAACAAUGUUUCGGGGACUAGAUGAAAAUGCCGACCGACUGAGAACUACAUUUUAAUGUUGUGUUCGAUACUGGUAAAUAUUUCUGCUUUCUAGUGUAUGCAUAAGUAGAUGUGUUCAAACUCAAUUAAUCACUAAUUAAUUUCAUGAGUAUUUACAUAAAGCACCACAAAUCACUUUGCAUGUUUUUAAAGUACACAUUUUAUGAAAUGGUGUUGGCAAGAACAAGAUAGUUUAGGCUGUAUUCGGCUGGCAAAGAUGCAGACAGGUUGUUACUAGAAGAUCAGAUUUUGACAUUGGUAUCUCGAUUAUAUUGCAUUUACCUCCCUAGGCCUUGCUGUAUAAUAAUAAAUGUCGCGGUGUUAGAUGUUUAUAAUCCGAUUGCUGUGUCAAUUUCUAGAUGUUUUGGUUAACCCUAGUUUAUUGAUUCGGAAAAAAAGGAUCUCAAAGCAGAGGCCCAUUUUUUCCAAAAUGUACAUUCCGGACAUGCAUUACCAGCAAUCAAAUCACUACUAUUGAUUAGUACUUUUUUACGACUGAAAGUAAAUUAAUUCCUUCAAUAGCUUUACCAAAAUAAUAAAAGCUAAUAUUUUGUCUCAUUAGUGUUCGAUUAUGUAUAUUUGCUUAAAUAUUUUGUCCACUUAAGUCGAUCGUGUACAUUUUCUAAUAGUUCCUAAUCAAAUAAAUUUCACAUUUAGUUAAUUGAUAUAGUAAUGUUUUUAAUAUCGCACUUCACUCUAUUGUUAUAUGUAUGUAAAGCGUUGAAGCUCGUGGAUUGCUAUUUGCCAGGUAUCAACUAAACAAUUCCUAGUUUUAUAUCUGUAACAAUCUAAACAAAAAUAUUUAAAAUUUGAUCGUUUUAGCUUAACUUCCCAGAUGUGAAAAAAACACUUCAAAUGUAUUUGCUUUUCUGAAAAAAUAGAUUUUUGGAAAUAUGUAAGUAGACUGUUCCAAGAGUUGAUACUUCUUGAGAUUGGUAAAAUUUGAGAUACCGAGUUAUGACACCAUAUCCGAACAAUCACGUUCUACUCUCACGUUUUGGCAAUCUUAAAGAAUAUGGUAAAUUUCAAUACAUGAGCAUCCGCAAUUGCUUAAUGCAGUUUACUAUAAUGUAUCUGUAUGAUGGUUAGUUGCGCUAUUAAUUUUCCGCUAUCAUUUAACUUAUUUGUAAGAUUUCACCUUCGAACAAAGACGAACACUUGCUUUGAAAUGCCGCUUGUAUUUAAAGUAUUACUAAUUGUUUACUGAAAACGUUUGUAUUUUUUAUUUUCAUGUCUGUCUAUUUUCACAACUUCACGCUGAAUGUAAGCGGAAUAAUUGCUAAUAAAAACCGUUAGAAAUAAAUUAAAAUUUAAGAAAAUUAAAUAGUCUAAAUGUUAAUGAAGAAGAUUUAAAUUUAAUAUUAAAUAUUUCUUGAUAAAACUAAUCUCCUUUAAAUAGGAUACGUGUUUGUUAAAUAAUAACGUUGAGUGAUUUGUUUUAGCCAUCUAAAAAAUGACAAAAUCUCAACUAAACUGAACAUAAAUCGGUUGAAUUUGUUGCAGGUCUUCCCCCUUUUUUAUCUUUUUAACUUUUUCAUUUCAAUGUUCAAAUAUUGAAAUAAUACGAACACAACAGUCUAAGUUAUCAUAAUGUGCUUAUUUUCCGACAAUAUGCGGUCAAAUGAUUAUUUUUAUUAUUAUUCUCCUGGGAUUAUGAGAAAAAAUCACAAAAAAGAAGAUUGACCCAUUAUGAAAUUGCUUUCAACUAUAAUAGGAUCAAGAAUUCGAGAUUGCAAGAUUUUCAAAUUACCUCCGAGUAUUUUUAGGUUAAUAUUUUUAAUAACGUAUUAAAGUAAGGGUGGGCGAUAAGAGCCUUUAUUUAAAUCUGAUUCUAUUAAUAAUUGCAGUUACAUAAUUAUACAGAAAUGGUUAUUUUUAAAGAAAAUGUAAUGUAAUUUAAUCUCUCCAGUGUAAUUUUCCAUUGGAUCAAUCAAUAAUUUAUUAGCUGUUGUCUACAAUGGCACAGUAAUUACCUGCAUGUUUUAGCCAAACGUAUUUGUGUUAUUUAUUGCAAAUUAUAAUGUAGCUAGCCAUUAACGUUCAAUCAAUCAACAUUUGUCUUGAUGUCGAAUGUCUUUAAAUUACUAAAAAUAACUUUUAUUAAUUAUAUGAAUUGUUUGCCAUUACUCCAUAUAGGUAGUUAGUUAUCUUUUUUACUUCCUUGAAUUGUUCCAUAAAUAUUACUUGUAUAUUCGUUUUUCAAACUGAACUUCAGAUUUCUAUCUUCACCCAGAAGAUUUUUCGCAGAUUUACCUUAUAUUCCAGUAACUUUCGUAACUCAAGCAUUUUGCUAUUUAUUUUAUAUAUACAUUUUUCCGGUAGCUUUGCAGAUACAGAUCUUCACUAUCAACAUAAUGUAUGUAACAUUUAAUGACUGACUCAUUUAAAAAUGUUAGUAAAACGUGGAUUUAAAUACGUAGAAAAACCAAAAUUGUUUACGAAAUUGUCACCACUCUAAAAGUGGGUUUAUUCAUUUUCAGAAAUACUCCUACUAUUAUUUUAGUCUCUGUGACUCACGUUUUGGUUAUUUUUAACUGGUUUUCUUUUAGUUCAGGGUCUUAAUUCGUCCUUAAGUUUUCAACGAAGCCCUGGCCUCUAUAAUUUAUCGUUUUGACAUACAUAGAUUUUAGAUGUCGUCGGAAGAAAACAUUUCAGUUGCUUCACUGGAAACUAAAAUUUUAAAGACAUUUUCAUCUAAUACUAGCUGACUAUUGGGUCACUUGGAUAGUGUUUUUAUUUAAAUUGGAAACUAUAUAAUAAUUUCAAUAGGUGUUAUUAUACAGAUACUAUUGUGUUUUAUUUUUCAUGGCAGUCGGCAUUAGGAUUUAGCUAUGACUUGACUGCCAAUAUAAUAAAUUAUUUCUUAUGUAUUUAAAGUAAAUUAGUUCAUUUGCCCAUUUGAACUUAUCAACUGCAGUAAUAAUAAAAACAAGAACAAUAUUCUAUUAAAAGCGUGAUUUUUUGUGUCUUUUCUGCAACAGCUCAUUGGAUAGUACGUUCUUUCGAUGCAAGCCACUCAACUCUUCAAAUCAACCGAAUUACUGGUAUGACUUUUUUAUAAUGGCGUGAUACAGCUCGGUGCCCUUCUGAAUCAUUGUGUUUGAUGGAUUUUUUUACGAAAUCUGCUAGAGAUGGAUCAAGCCAUAGCUAUCUAUCUACACCACUAGUUCAUUCAGACCACAAGAAACAUUUUGCCAGCAAACCAGUAUCUUGAAAUCGGAACCACUCAGAUUGAACGAGAAUUUUUAAAUUGCAAUAAACCAACGUGUACAAAUCAACAUUUGUUUGUAAUAAAAAUGUCGGAAUUUUGUUUGUUUUACUAUCAAUUAUUUCCAAUUUCAUGUGAUUAAUAAGUGAAUGGUCGUUAUCAAAUGAAAUAAUGAUGCCUUGUACUUUAGAUAAAUACCUACAGGUUGAAUACCGAAAACUACCUAAAAAUAUUUGUUCCACUGACUCCCUGCAAAUAAACUAUAAAAUAAUUACGAAAACCGGAGACUAGUAAAAAUAUUAAAUAAAAUAAUAUAAAUACAUAUUGUGCAUGUAUAAUUGGUUACAAAAAUAGCCGCAAAUGACUGCAUGCAAUGUUGUUCAUUAUUUCCAAAGACUGCGGCUUCUAUUCAUAUAAUUAAAAAUAUAUGUCCUUUAAACGAGUUCAGAGAACUUUGUUGUAGUGAGAAAUCCAAAUACUGUUAAAAUCUUGUUUUGUUUUUGAAGUUUUUCAAGACAAUUGUAGAAAAUAGAAAUACUGCAAUUUCUAUUCCACCUAAGCGUUUUUGGAUAAAUAUAAAUGGUUUGGCGAUAAACUAAUCAAAAAAUUUCUAUCGUUACUUGUAUCCCGAUUAUAAACGACAAUUUUGAAUAUUAUGGCAAACUUGAUUUUCAACGACGUAAAUGUUGACUUAAUUUUUGCAUUAAGUUUUUAACAGUGAAGUAAUUAACAUAAGUAUAUUACCUUAAAUAAAACUUAUUAGAAUAAACGUUUUGCAAAGCAUCGCUUUUUAAGGGUAGUUUCAAAGUUAAAAUUCAGAACUUGAUAGCAGAUUUCGAGUUUGUUUUAUUGAAAAAUUUAGAGGUUGGGAAUACAACACAAUAUUAUAAAUAUCGUAUGUUAAAUAUUAAUUAGGUUUACAGUGAAACAAUGGCGUGAUAUCGUAAAUUAGGUUCAAAACAGUCGCAAUUAAAUGAAUUUGGAAGGAACACGAUGUUAAAAGUAUUAUUUCACUAGUUGGAAAUAGCUCACCCUGUUUUUGCUUUGCUCGUAGGUGGUAAAAGCAAGUAGAUUUCUUAACUUCAUGUAAAAAUGUAAAAGAACAAGGAAAAGUUCAGUCAUUUGCCAAGUUCAGCAUUAGAGCAUUGCGGGAUGAUUGUCAUAAUAUUUUUAUAUUCAUACUUUAUAGCUUUUUUAUAUUUAAUGUGGUCUGCCUUAAUAAUUUUGAAGUUAUUAUACAUUCUUGACUAAACGACUAAUCCGUUUUAAUUAGCUAUGGUAUUUAACUUCAAAUAUAUUUGUAUGCUUUAGGUGUUUCAGAAUUGUUUAAUUUAUUCGCUUGAUACAUUUCCAUUACUGCGUUUCCUCUUUACUAAUGGAUCUAGUAGUUUUUGAUGAAUUUUGGGAAUUUUAAAUUCGUAGAUUCGAACAACGAUUUUCUACACGCAUGAUUCAGCAAACAUAAAUAGUUUUUGAUGUUAGUUGAUGUGUUAAAAAUUAUUAAUUGUCGCUAAAGCAUAACAUAAAAAAUUGUUUUAUAUAUUUCUAGCACUCGCAUUUUAUCAGUAAGUGUGUAGUUAUUAUUCAUAACAUUUAAAUGUUGAAUAGAAAUAAUUUUUCGGCUUGCACAAACUUGCUAUUAAUACCCAUUUAAUUGGAGGAAGCUUUAAUUAUAUAUGAAUUAGGCGUUUAUGAUAACACUGAGUUGAUGGUUUAUUGAAAGUAAAAUGCACGAUGAUCUUUUGGUUUGCAUUUUGCUUUUAAAGACUUUGCACUAUUGAGCUUUUGUACUUUUUACUCAAAUUUGUCAUGGCAUGAUCUUAAAUUUUCAAUGUAUUCUAAUGUCAUUUUCUAAUUUAUUAUUAUCUAUGAAACUUGCUUUUAAAAUGGUCUUACUUGGGCGGUUGAAGGAUUUCUAGUCAAGUUCCAGAUAACAUUAGCGGCUCUAAUAGGUUUUAUUCAUGCAACUAUUAAUUUCCUAUAAUUCAACCUUAAAACGUUUUAACGUAAUAUUUGCAAAAGUUUUAAAUAAAAUGAUUAAUAAAGAAAAUUAAAGAAAAUCCUUGCCACUGCUUAUAUAAAUAUACAUUAUAUUAUAUAAAUAUAAUAUAAAUAUAUUGCUCAAAACAUGACUUUUGUAAAUUAUCUAAACAUUCAAUUUGCAGGCAGUGUUUAGAGGUUCAACAAAAUGAAUUUUGUUUGUAUGCUAUUGUAGAUCAAUUUAUUCAAAACCCUCACUCUAGAUUCUUAUAUACAUAUUUCUUUAACCAUCUAACCCAAACUAACUUUAAAUUGCAAUUUAUAAUUUUAAAUUUCGGAUUCAUAGAAAUCUCGUCGGUCGAUUUGGUUGCAGUUUGCAGUGUUUAGAAUUUUCAGCAAAAUAAUAAUCUUUGCAAUAUAUUGUAUUUAAAAUGUGUAUUUUUGUUGUUGAUAUUGGGGUAGAAACAUAUUUUCAUUCAUUAGCUCACAUUUAAAUUCCUGGAACAUAUGUAUGUGCAGUUAAUGCAUGGGUUUUACCGGAAAGUAAUUUUAUUCGGUUGUGAUAUGCGAUUAUUAUCUAAAAUCUGUAAAUAUAGACUUAUGAUUUUACAAAAGCUUUUCUACAUCAACUUUGCGCAUAUAAAGCCAAAUAAACUACUUUCAUAAUAAAGCUUGCUUAAACAUGAUCUAAUUAGAGUGGCUUGCUAGAUCACCAUAUUAAUUUGAAAUAUGUGUUUAUAUUUAGGAUUUUUUAUUGUGGAACUUCAGACGUAAACUAUUAACAAAUAGUAUUUUCGAGGAACAAGAACCAAUACAUUGAAUGUUCAAUUCUGCACAUAUCAGACGCAAAUAAAUUUAAGUCAAAUUUGGGCAAUAAAAAGAGUAUUAAGUAUUUGGUGUGUCAUUAUGUUGCUAGUUGUUUUUUUACUAUUUAAACAUAAACUUGUGAUACAAGUGUGAACACAAAUAAUUCAAUUCGAUAAAUUUAAUAAAAAUUACAAUAAGUGCUUCUUCGAUGAUAAUUUGCAUUUGGAGUUCUUAGAUUUGCAGCAGUUAAGGUUAUUUAAAUUCCAAGUGCCGAUAAUCGUACACGAUAUUGCGAAUGUUCAAUGUUUUGGUUCGAGUAUUCCACAAUUAAACUCAGCACCUUGAAAUAUUAUCAAUGUCAUCCAUUUUUUUUUUAAUUAAACACGCUUUUGAGAUAUUUAUUAAUUUUAAUAUGGGAACAUUUUCUAUUUCGUCCUCUUUGUGUGUAGGUUACUGUCCUGAUUUUGGGUGUUGUUUUCUUUAACAACUUUUGUGUUUGACAAUAUUAUCUCACUCGUAUUGAAUUGAAUGCAUUGAGCUAGUUUCUUUAAAUCCUUUUAAAUUAAUUAAAGCGUUGCUAAGACAGGAUUUUUUCUGUGGCUUAUUUGCGCCUGAAUGACCACUAAUUAGAUAAAAAUGAAAUUUUUCUGUAUAGCAUUUAUGUUAACCCUACGCUAUUCAAUGGGCUCUGCAUGCCACGGACAUAAAAUAUAAAUGUUUCUAUUUGCCUAAAAUUAUAGGUGUAUUAUAUUGUAAUAACUCAAAUAGGUUGAAGGUAUUAAAUUAUAACCACGAACAAUUAGCGUAAAAUGAACAGAAGAGAGUAUUUCAAAUCUGAAUGAAUUUAUAUUGUAUUAUACAGCGUAAUAAGCUGGAUAAUUGCGCUGAGAAAUAAGUAAUUGACUUUGAACAACGACUAAAAUCCCAUGUAUUAAAGCACAUAUACAUAACUUCUAUUAAAAAAGGUGGAAUAAGCUAUAGUAAUUAAUGUGUUAAAUUUACAUUAGACACAAGCAAUUAAAGUGAUGAAGACAUGAAAGUGAUGUAUGAGGUAUAACUAAAGCGUAUCAGCAAUAAAUAUGGCUUGAUAAAUAGCAAACCAACUAGAAUAUAAUUUUAAAAUUAUUUUCUGAGUGUUAUGAACUAUAUUGCACCUUCCAGAAAUAAUUAGACACUUUGAAAGUGUAUUCAUGCAGGUAAAUCACAUAUAAGCUAUAUGGUCAUAUGACACAAUAGAAAUAUACAUAAAAAUAAUAAAUAUGUCUGAACUUGACAACUCUGAAAAAACUCAAAAACGAAAAAUGUGCCAUAAUAUAUCUACAAAUAAAUUGAUGAAAAACUGUUACUGUUAAUGACAGUUAAAUUUUAGCAGAAAAUGAUGAAUAAAAGUUGAAAACAGAAAAAUAUAUGUAAACGUUAUGUUAUGCCAAAGCUUCAAAUAAAUACCCGACUUCGCACUAAACAAUUUAAAUACAUACUUGUAAAAAAUAAAUUGUAAUUCAAAGAAUUAUACAUACAUUGAUGUGGUAUGAAUAUAUUUAUAGACUUGAUAUUGCGAAAAAAGUACUAAAGUUAAUUAUUUAGCAAUUAUAUCUUAACAGUUGUUUCGCAGAGAUAAUAAGAAUGAAUCAAAAGAAAGCAAUAUUUUAUCAAGAUGAAUUUAAGCGAACGAUAAAACAGCACAGUUAUAUUUGUUGGAAUGUGAGGAUUAAUAAAAAGAUGGUUUGCCCCACUGUUCUAUGUUAAUUGGGCUUAAACUUUUUAGAAAAUUGUAUGAAACAUUACAAUUGACUGCCGAAAUAUUUAACAGCUUUUAACGCGGGUUUUAUAAACAGCGCGAAAUAAUCUGAAUAUUAAUUAAUGCAUUAAGAAAAGCGCGAGCGCAUAAGAGGAUAUAAUAAAAAUGAAUUUAAGAACAAAUUCUAAGGUAAAACUACAAAUAUAGUCCUUUAUAGUAAAAGAAAUGCAACUUAUGAGAAAAAUGAUUAAAAAAUUGUGUUGAAAAAUGUUGAGGUGUGAGCUUAAUAGAUAUUGGGCAAUUGCAUUUGGAAUUGAAAAGGUUUAUUAGACGACGAAAAUGUAUAGUGAAUCUAAAAAAAGCGAUUUAAGGUUUUAACUUUUUAAUAGGUUGUUAUACAGGUUUAAAAAUUAAGAAAAGGUGUAGAUUUGAGAGAAACAUCCAUGAUUCAGAAAUAAGAUUUUCCUGGUUAAGUUCACAUCUUAGGUAGUAAACCCAAUUAUUUACGCUGACAGAGCUCGGCACAUCCGAGAUUCAAAACAAUUUGUUCCGAAAAAUAUUUAUUUAAUUUAUUAAAAUUAUCAUUAAUCAAACAUGUACGAUCAGAAGUGCUGAUAAUAUAUUUAAAUGGAAAUUAAUGUAAGUAAAUCGGAGAGCAAGGAUGAAUCUGUAUCUGUAAAAUACACCCUUCCUAAAAAUGUCGAUAUUAAUAAGAGUUACUUGCAAGGACUGAUGUAAUCAAUUCAUCUGCGAAUUAGUAAAAAUGGCAAUGCAAUUACUUAAAAGACAAAUUGUAUUAUCAUAUUGGUCAAUAUAUUGGACCUUUGGGGAGGCUCUAGAAAAGCCAAUGCGAGCGUAUAAGUUACAAAAUUCCCGGAAUGAAGACAAGUGCGGGAAAGAAAAUAAAUAUACUUGAAAACAUUAUUUGGUAUGCCAAAUUCCGAAUUUUAUUAAGGAUAUGAAUUAUCCCGAAAAAUAUCUGAACUCCUUGAAAUAAAUGAAUGAAAUACACAUUUAAACGAUUUGGUUGUUGAGGUCAAUGGAAUUAGAAAUGAUUUUUUACACAAUACUUUGCGAUUAUAUUAAUCGCUAUUUUUAAUGAUUAAUGCCGAAUAAAGAUUUUCGAUUGAACGUUAUGGCAGCAGCUACAAGGUGACAUUACGAACAAUUUUAGUAGUUCUAAUUAUAUAUUUGCUUCAAUUGCUUUUGCUUUUGAAUAUCUCCAAACGGCAAGAAGAAUAUUUUGAAAAGUUUUGAAAAGAAAUCCGUCUUCAAUUGAAAUAUAAGUUAAUACCGCUGAAAGAAACUAUCAACACUGAAACAAUUAAAUAUUAUAUACAGCAAAUGCUUGGUCAAUUAAUUUACCUUGAGUGAUUUUACUUAGAAUAGCAAGAUAAUUGCGGCUGAACUUAUGGGUUAAAAUGGUCAAAUAUCAAGAAUCCUGCAGAUAUUCAAUCGGAAAUGCCAAUAUAUGCUAAGAUUAGUCUUAGAAAAGAAAUGGUAAUAUUUUAAUACAAGUGGCUUACAUUUUUUAUGCCAAAAAUGAACAUACAGCUAAUAUGUCAUGCAAUCUAUUUGUGAAAAAACAUGCAAAAUGGUAUCAAGUCCACGUUUCCAGAACUUAAACAUAUUUAUCUAAUAUUGCAAAUCAAACCCUGCAACAUUUUAUUUAUGAUGUGGUUUUAUGACUAAUUUUUCAAACGAAGAGUUACCUACUACGGCACAAUUUUUAAAACUUAAAUGUAAUUAAAUUAUAUGCAUUCAGUCUUUUCAACUGAGUAUAGACUUAUCACUUACCAUCCAUUGUUUCCGAAAAGGGAAUUUCUCAAUUUUCUAGUACUAAAUGUUUCACACAACACUUUUUCACAGUUUACUAGAACUUUAUUCGCAAUUGAAAUACCAAAUUUUAAAAUGAAUUUUAUAGUUUGAAACAGCAAUAGGCUAAUAACCCGGAACACCUUCUUUUCGCCGCUUUUCAGAAUCGCCUGGCCCUUAAAAAAUUAUAUGCGCACCAGAAGGUUUUACUCAAGAUGUGUACUUAAUAAAUAUUUCGUGCCUGAACAAUUGGAUACAAAUAUGCCCGUGUUUAUAGAUAUUAUAAACAGUUUGGAACAAAGAACAUUCAGAAUUCGCACAACGUUGCCGCAUAUUUUUUACUUAAACAAUAACAUUGUAGAAAUUAUGGUUGACAACUUCGGCAAAAGAAUAUAUAUAAUAGUUCACAUAAUUUCGCAUAUUUAGAAAAACAAACAUGUGUGAAGAAUUUGAAUCUUACAUUUGCAACGCUUUUGCUGGUUAAACGAACUUAAAGUUCAAAUUAACGAACUAAAUCAAAUUUAAUUAGAUUGCAAAUUUGUUAAAGGUCUAGUGAAAUAUUUAAUAUUGUCGAGUAAAAUCACUGUAAUAGUAAAUAGAAUCGUGUCAAGCAACUGGGUAAAAAUGUUUGAAAGUAAUAAACAUUGACAAAAUCAGGAAAUAAGAACGUGAAAGACAAGAACAAACGAGUUAGUAAUGUAGGGUCCCAAUUAAGGUAAUUUGCACGGUUGAUCGAGAGGAAUGUGGUAAAAACUAGACAAAAUAAUCUACGUCUUCGACUUACAAGUACUUAGCGGUCAACUGUAAAGUGAGUAAACGCAAAAACGCAUUUACAAAGUUGUACCAUAAAAAAACUAAACAAGAAACACUGAAACUGGAAAGUUCUAAAAAAUGGUUGGGUUCGUUCAGAAUUCUUUUACAGCUAAGAAUUGGUAUCUCAGAAUGAAUUGCUCAAAGUUACAAAGUAGUGGUUGUUUAUAUGACAACAAACAAAUCUCAUUUUAUCUCACUAAAGUGGUUGUAUUAAAGCGGGGUUAAAUUCUAAAGUGGUGGGUAAAAUGUUAUUAACUUAAAAUCUUUACUGCGGUUAUUAAGCAAUAAAAUAAGUAUCUUAAUAAUUAAAGAAUAAAGCACCGAAAACGGAAAUAUAUGAAAAUAAUAUGUAAACUAGUAAACAAAUAAACCUUAAAAAAGACUACUUACAAUUAAAAAUCACAGAUUUGCAAACGCUGAACCAAAUUUAUUUACAUUAAGCGCAGUAAUUUGGUUAAAAGGAUACAAAGGUAAAAAGCUGUACAAUAAAAGAAGCUUUUCUUGUUUUGAAAAGAAAUAUCAUUGAAUUAUCCAUCAUAGUAAUUUAGUUAAUUAAAAGUUUUUUCAUAAUAAUUUAGUUGUUAAACCAUCGAAAUGUUUUAAUAACAAAAUUAAAUGACAAAUACAAAUAAAAUAACAACUGCAGAAUAAAACAUGGGUGUGCAGAAGUUGAAGAAUCAGUAGUGGUGCGAGGAAAAACAUAAAAUAAAUCGGUAGAACAAUCACUGAAAAGGUGAUUUGGUCAAAAGUGUCCAAAAAUAAACACAGUUUUAUAGGUGCUUUUAAACAAAUGUAAAGUGAUAAAAGGGCAUGCAAGAAGAUUACCUUGAGGCGAAUUGUAAUUACAAAGUAUAAAACGUAUGAUCAAAAGGAAAAUAAACUCAUGAAAUAUGAUUUGGUCAAAAGAAUACAAAAAACGGGUCUGUAGGAAACAAUGGUUAGGUAUCUUGAAAAUACAAAUAUUAUAGAAACGGAAAAGAAUAAGAGGAAAUAAAAAAAGUUGGGUAAAUAAUGUACAGUUUUAAAAAAGUUUACUUAUAUACGGAUUUCUAGCUGUUCGUCAAUAGUGAAGCCAAAUUAUAAAAUGUGUAAAACAGGAAAUACAAAGACUGUUUGUCUAAAAAUAUGCAAAAAUAUAGACGGUUUAGUAGGAGAUAGUGGUUUUUUUGAACAGAAAUGUGGUUAAAUAAAAAAGCGAACGUGAAUAAACUAAUAAUGGUUGCAAAAAAGUAAAGUGAUAAAGAACGUCUACUUAACUAGGGGUUUGCAGAUGUAUAUCGAUUACCUUGAAGCGAAUUGUAAUGAGAAAGUGUAAAACUCAAACUAAAAAGGGAAAACAAGCACUGAAAAUAUGAUUUGAUCAAAAUAAUAACAAAAUUAUAACGGUUUUAUAGGGAACAGUAGUUAUCUUCAAAAGAAAUAUAAUUAGAAAGGAGUUAGGAAAAUAAUUAAAAUGUAAUUAUUAGUAAAUGCACUUUCAAAGUGGUUGAUUAAAAAUGUAACCAAGAAGAGUAAUAACAGGGUUUUCCAGUAAUGAAAUUGUUGAAGCGAAGUGCCAUUUACAAAGUGAUUAACUGAUCUGAUUAAGUAAUCUGAAAUAUUAUUACAUAAUUCUGCGGAAAGAGAAAAUUAGUAAAAAAAGUAUAUUUAAAUAAAUACACGUUUAGGGAGAGAAAACGGUUAUCUAUUCACGAAUCAGAAUACCAAGUGGUUAACAAUUACAGGAGAUUUAUGGGAAAAAUUAAAAUGAAAAGGUAAAACAACAAAUUAAUUUGGUUGAGAGAGUUGAUAGCAAAGUAUAUGCGCUUUAUACUUUUUAAGGUUAUUUUGAAGAUGGAUAACAACUAAAGUUAAAUUAUAUAAAAACAUUUGUGAUGCGAAAUUAGUAAAGAAGUUAUACUUAAAUAUGUAAGGGUUAGUAGACGUAGAAUGCACAUAUUAACGUUAAAUUAAAUUAAUGUGGUCGCGUAAACAAUUUAAAGUUAACGUAUAGACUAGUGCUUCUGAAGGAUGAAAACAAUCUACUGAAAUCAAUAACGACUUUCAGCAAUAAAAGGGUUUUUUGAAGUCUAUUAGAACUACGAAGUAAUUGGGAAAAUCGGAAAAAAUCUUAAAAAAUUUAUAUCGAUUUCACAGAAAUAAAAUGGUUAUAUUGAACUAGCAAAGUGGUUGCGCAUCUUAAAACGAGUAAAAUGAAACGAACGCUCCACACUCAAUUUGGCCAAAAGUGUACAAAAAUAAAAACGGCUUUACGAUUACACAAAAACUAAUUACAAAGUAAGAAAUUAAAACAUUAAAAAUUAAGGAAAUGAUGAAAAGACAAAAUAGCAAAAAAUAUUUACGUAAAUCUAUAACGGUAGGCAAUAAUAAAAUGGUUACCUUGAUGUUAAAUACAGUUAUAAAAUGCUUAGCUAAGAAAUUAAAAUAAAAUAAAAUGGAUAUCGACAAGUAGUCGUAUAUUAAAAUUAAACAAUCCACACCUUGAGAAAAAUGGGAAUGCGAAGUAGCGUAUCCAAAAAAAUCAACUGAAAAUGUAGAAUGAUUCCAUUAAAACGAAAUAUACUUACAAACUGGUUAGGUGGAAAAUUAAAGCGAACGGCAACGGUUACAUAAACCUUGAAAAUAAAUGUGGUUAAAUAAAACGGCCAAAGGAUAAUUUAGCUUAAAUAAGGUAACAGAUGCGGAAGAAAAUGUAAAGUGGUAAAGAAGGUGUACUAGGUAAAUACAGAGUUGUAGAUUUAAAUUAUUAAGUGCUAUUGAAGAUUGGUUUGUUGAUUAAAUUAAACAUAACACACUGUCUGUGGUCAAAAGUACGGCAAAAUAUGAACGGUUUAUCGGAGCAAAACUUCCCGUGAAAAAAAAUCUGCUUAAAUAAAAAGUGAACUUAUUGUCGAAUGAUCAAUGGAAAGGUAAAAAGAAAAAGUUGUUAAAGAAGGUGGAAUUAAAUACGGCCUCUCGUAAGCGUUAAAUGGUUACGUUAAACCGAAACGCACUUUCAAAGUAAUUGAGUAAAAGACGAAACUGAGAAAAAUAACAAACCCUGAAAAUACAAUUUGAUGAAAGGAUAAAAAUGAUUUAGCUUCUAAAUGGCUACGUUAAACAGAGUAUUUACUAGAAAGAGCGUAGGUAAACAAUUCGAAAUUAAAUUUUGUAACGGAUGAUGUGGUAAAUAGAUUACAGAACGUUUGGGUAACUACGACGAUUUUACAGGAAUAAAAUGGUAAUAUUUUUUCAAACUAUAAGAGAAACGCGGAGAACGUAAAUUGAAGCGGAAAUAAAAUGGUUAUCUAGAGGUAAAAUACCAUCACCAACUUGAAACGAAAUACUCUGACAAAUGGUUGGAAGAAAAACUUGUUAUGUAGUUUUAUCAUAAUUACUUUGAAACGAAAUAUAAUUACGAACUAUGUAUAACUAAAAAGGUAAAAUAUACACUGUAUAUAUACUGUGAUAUAAGUAUAUGAAAAUAAAAACGGUUUUGUAGCUUACAAAUUGAUUAUGACAAUUAUAUUCGAAAUAAAUUUGACUGGAAAGCGGUUGGGUAACAGUUUCGAGGUAAAUUAACGAAUGCUGAGAUUCUAUGCUGGUAAUGAUCUAUGUUUAAAUAGUGAAAAGGUUUGCAGGAACAAAACGAAUAUAUGACAGCAAAGUGGUUGGGUGACGAAAUAAAAAAAUUAUGAGAAAGCAAAGUAAGGAAAUAGCGGCUGCAGAAAUAAAAAUGGUUUACGGCAAACGCAAAGUAGUUCGAGAAAAGAUCUAAACUUAAACUGAGUGAUGCAAUUAGAAAGUGGUGCGGAGUAAAAUGAAAAAGUAAAGCAAGCACUAAAACUAGUUUUUUAAAAUAUACAACAAUAAAAACGGUUUUGAAACAAACAAGGGUUAUUCUCAUAAGAGCCUUAAGUUAAAAAUGGUUGGGUAAACGAGAUAUAUUUAAUUUACGUUGUUAACGAAUGUUGAAGGUAAACUGGUAAUGAAGGGAUGUUUAAAUGCUAAGCGGUAGCAGACGUAAUAUGGUUAUAUUCAAGAGAAGUCAAAUUUCGGAGUGUUUGGUUGAAAAAUAGAGACUAAAAAAUUAAUGCAGACACCAAUGCCAACACGAAAUUAGUAAUAAGUAGGCAGAAACGAAACGUGGUUUUGUAGCCACGUUGAAAAAAAUGUGCGGAAAUAAAGUAGGUAAAUGACAAAACGUUAUUGGAAAUAAAUUAACAAACACCGAGGAAAUGGUAAAGCGGUAGUGAAGUAGUACCUUGAACCGAAAUGCAAUUACAAAGUGGUUCGCUGAAAAACUUAACUAAGCAGGUAAAACAAAGACUGACAUGAUAAAUUGGUCAAAAGUAUCCAUAAAUGAACGGUUUUAUCGCAAAUAUUGAGUAGCUUGAAAAUAAAUAUGGUUCAACAACAAGUUGUUGAGUAAAAAAUAAACUGAAGAUAAUCUAAAAAUGGUAAAAAGGUGUAAAAAAGUGAUGAAGAGGGUUUAAUUAAAUAGUGGCUUUUAGCUGUAAAAUGGUUUUCUUGAAGCGAAAUUUUAUAUUCGAUUGGUUCGGCGAUAAACUAAACGAAAACAGACAAACAAACUUGGCAAAUAUAAUUUGGUGGAAAGUGUAUAAGAACAGAAUCAGUCUUACAGCAUACGAUAACAGCACGUGAUAACUUGAAAAGAAAUCUAAUUAGGACGAUGUUGCAUAUAAAACUGAAACUUGAAUUACAUAAAAAAUUGCGGAAAGCUAAUUUGGUAAAGAUGAUCUACUUAAAUAAUAUGCGUUUGUAGGAAUGAUAUGGAAAUCUUAAAGAGAAAUUGUUUACUCAUCAUAAAAUGAGUUUGCACCGAUGAAAUAGUUACUCCGAUAAAAUAUGCAAUUGCAAAGUGGUUGAAAAAACAUAAUACUGAAAUAAUAUUACAAUGCCAAAAGGGCGGUAAACUCAUGAUCAAAAAGGUCCACUUAAAUAAACACUGGUAUGCUGAGAUAAAAUAUUUUCCUUGAAAGCGAAGUCAUACACUAUUGUUAGCGGAAAAUAGUAAAAAUAGGAAAUAUAUACGGCAAUAGCGUGAUUAAUUCCAAACAAAAUGUGGGUAAAUAGCGGUUGCGUGCAUAUUUCAACUAAAUACCUUAAAAACACUACAAUGAGAUUUGCUUAAAGGUAUACAAAAAAGUAACGGCUUUUUGGUAGACAAUUGUAAUAUUGAAAAGGAUUAUAUACAAAUAUAAUUGUAAAGUAAUUGGGUAAACCUUUGAAGGCAAAUGCAACGAAAUAAAGGUUGGGUCAAGAAGUUGAACUUGUGUGAAGUGAUAUAAUAAUGAAAGCUAAUAUAUAAAUAAUUAGCCUAUCUACUUAUCUGCGGUUUAAAUUAAUAAUUUCGUUACCCUGAAACCUGACAUUACAAAAUGGUUCGGUAAAUAAAUUACAAUCAAAUUGUAAAACAAACAAUAAAAAGGUAAUUCGGUGAAACGCAGACAAAAAAUGCAAAGCUUUUAAUAGCAAACACUGCAUAUCUCGGGAAGAAAAGUAAUUUGAAAUAGGUUCGGUUAUCAUUUAAAGUUAAAUUAUAUUUAUCUUGAAAGGUCCAUCGGUCAAGACCACUAGUAAAUAAAAAUACAGAAAUGAAAUGGUUACCUUGAGGCAAAAUUCGAUUGUUAUGUGCUCGACUGAGAGUUUAAAGUUUAGUUACAUUUAAUACGGUUUUACUGAAAGAAUAUGCUUAAAAAGUUUUAAAACAAGUAUCUAUUGCAGAUCGGUUAGGAGAAAAAUAUAAACACCUAAAGUGUAAGACGGUUUUGCAGCAAAAACACGGUUACUUUGAAAUAAAAUAAAAUAACCAAGUGGUCAGUCGAAGAAACUUAACUAAAAGAGUAAAACAAACCUUGCGAACGUAAUGCAGUUAAAAGUAUAGAAAACUGAAAAUGGUGGCGAAGCAGACAAAGUGGUAGGGUGAGGAAUUUAAAGGUGCAUUGUUUAAGAAAUGCCGAACGGAAGAAAUAGUGAAAAAGUCCAUUUAUAUAAAAUAAAACUAAUAGAUAAUAAAAAUGAUAAUUUGGUCAAAAUUAAAAAAGAAAUGUUUUGGUGGGAACAAUAUUUGCCUCGAAAAAAAUAAUAUUACAAAUCGUGGGCAUAAAAAAUUGGAAAAAAUGGUUUACUGAAAGAAAUUUUAUCGAUUUUACGAUUUAUAGAAACUACGUUGUUUGUUUUUAGUUUGCUACAAAUAAGUUUGCAGCAACUUAUAAGAAUAGAUCGGUUAUCGGUUUUAUAGUAAGUAAUAUAUGUGUUGAAAUCAAUUUUAUAAAAAACAUACAGAAAUAAAAACGGAUUUGUAACAAAACACUAGGGUAACUUAAAAAUUGAUGAAGUUGAAAAAAUAUCGAACAGGAAUUGUUAAUUUAUAUAAUCUAAUAAAUAUAGAAGAGAAGGUAAAGUGGUAAACACGUGUUACUCCAAGACGAGCUUAGAUGUAAAAUUAUGAUGUUCGAGAGCAUUGACAAAAAAGUGAUUUAAACACUAAAAAGGUUGUCGUUACAUAGCAGGUAUCGGCUGAUAUAAAUAAAUAAACUUUUUAUAGCAGUAGUUGGAUAGUUGCGCUUCGUAAUGUAUAAAAUACUAAAUACUUAUAAUCAGCUCUCAAUCUUUCUCUACUAAUUUCACAGGUUUAUGUUAUUUGCAGAUGCUCAGAUACAAAAUAGAAGAAGUGAUAACGAACAAAACCGUUUUUCUUGAAAGCUACGCACCGAUUUAACAAGAUUUUAAGUUGGUUAUAAACAACAACCAAGUGCUAAAGGCUGAAAAUAAUAACACAUUUAAAGAAAAAACUCUGUUAAAUGGAACAUUUGCAGUGAUAUAAAAUCAUUUCAAAAUUAAUAAAGUUUAGAUUAAGUAAAGUAAAGGUUAGCGCAAAAUUUUAGUAUAACGUGAAAUGGGACCAACGUCUAAAUUGGUAAACCUGGAGUGCCUUUGGUAAACAUGAAGCAAUAAUUUCGCAUACCCGAUUUGCACAUCUAUCUAAGAAUAAGAAAAAAUAAUUUCUGUGUUUUUUGGAGCUUUAGAGAUUAACAGAUGCCUUAAUAAGAACAAUUAGAUUUAAAUGAAUGGAACAGUCCCAUAAAUGAGCUCGAUGAAUAAAAUGCCGAAAUGUGAGAAGAGGUACUUGGACGACUCACUAAAUAAACAGAACGAGUGAUAAAGGCAUAGGAAACGUUAUUAAUUUGGAGAUUUUACGAGUUACGAGUUUACCCAGAAGAUACGGUCUAUUAAGCCCGCUCCACAUACGCGUCGCGAAAACGUGUGAAUGUAAGGUUCCGCGUUCCUAUUUUGCGUCGUGCAAGAUGAUUUGAUUUGCAUUUGAUGAUCAAUUGUGCAAGAUAUACGAGAAACAAACACCGUGGAAAAAAGCACAGUUUGCGUGGAAGGCAAAGCAAAUAUCAAAACAUAAGCUUUAGGAUGGUAUAAUUUUAACCGGUAACUUAUCACAUAAGUUCAGCUUUAUAAAACCAGCAUUUUUUGGUAGUGGUAUGAAAAGUGUAUUUUCUUGUUGGGUUAGUGUCAUGCGUAUUUAAAGAAAACUGUUAGGGUAAAAAAAUUAUAUUGUAGACAAGAAGAAAAAUGUUAGAAAGGUAUGUGGCACUGUGGUGGAAGUUUGUAGAAAAAGAAUUCAUCGUAUAAAAUGGAGAACUAGACGUACAACAGUGAGAAACAGUAGUGUGAACCUUACAAUGAAAGGUAGAAAGGCGGAUAAUAAUUUUUGGUAUGCUCGUACAAGGUGAUAAAGGAUGGUAAUUUUGAAAAGUCAACUUUUAAAAUGUAUGAACUGGAAGUGUAGGUUUGAGUGCGCUAAUACAGGUCAAAAUAAAUUUGGAUCUACAUACGUAAAUAUGGUGAAAGAAGAAUAUGAAUAUCGUGGGUAAAAUAGCGGUUAGCCUAAAGUGUUGUAGUUUAUUUUUCAAUAUAAAUGUGCCUGGAAGUUAAUUGUAAUGCAAAACGAAUGCUAAUAAAGCUGCAUAAUUGUGAGGAGCGCACUUACCAACAUAGGGUAAAAAAUCUUGUGAAAUGUGUUAUGUUAUCGAAGGAAAAGUAAACAAGUGGUUGAAAAGUUUAGAAAGUGAACAAAACAUUAAAAAUAAUUGCAAUAAGUAUGUGAGAUAGAAGAACGUAGUAAUAUGAGUUGAAAACGUUAGGUGUUCAUCCAGGAAAUGAGUUGAAAUGAGUCUGGUUAUGUUUCGACGUGGAAUAAAAAUUAAGGUAUAGAAGAAGAGAAGUGAGUGAGCGUAUAUUGAACAUACACCAACGUAAUAUUACCGUGUAAUUAAAUAAUUACGUUACGUUCGGAUUGUUAGCUUGAAAUAAUUCACUGCUAAGAGGGGCAAAAACUGCGAAGAAUAAAUAUUGGUUCGACAUAUCAAAAAUUCAAAUCUUUUAACCAGGAACUUGAAUUAUGCAAUAGGAGGUGAAUAAGUAAAAAAUGUAAUACUCUUGGUAUAGGUAAAUUGUAAAAACUUCCCGUUGCUUAUGAAUACAAAAAUAUUCCUUGAAGAGCUGCGCCGAUUUGUGUAUAAAUAAAGUAAAAGUAAGGAAAAGUAAUAAAUAAAAAUGUGAUGUGAAAUAUAACGCUAAUCUAAUAAUACGGACUUUAAAUACAUACAACCAAAAAUUCACCAAAUUAAUAAUGCAGUUGACCGAAAACACAAACAAUAAAAGCGACGUGAACUAAAUUACAGUGGAGGAUGGUGGACCAACGCGCAUAGAAAAUUACAAACAAUUACAAGAUAUACUAUUUUAUUGUUACUAUACGUAUAAUUACGAAUUUGACUUUUUACAAUAAUGAUUCGUGUAAGUUCCAACAAGUUUACAAAUCAAAUCAAAACGAGUGUCUAAAAUAUUGUAUAAACCUGUUAUAAUUUCAUAUGAAAAUUUCAGUUAAUCUGCGGAAUCAUUACUUCUUAUGAAAACGGUGUAUAACAAAAUAUUUAAUGUCUUCGAAACAGUUUCAGAGGAGGGUGGUGGGCCAACACGCGAAAAAAUCAAAGUGAUUGAAAUCAGUCAUUUUUUAUUCUAUAUUUUAUUUAAAUAAAUUAAGUGGUAGAAGGUCAAUUGUUCCUCACAAAAAUGUUGAUAUUUCAGGUUGGUUUCGUUCGAUUAAAUUUGGUUUCGUUGAAAACCGUUUGAUUUCUUUGCAUUGCGAAUUAAUUUAGUAGUCAUUUUGGCGUUGUCGGUGGUUGCAAGAGAAAUAUUAUCAUUAGACUAUCAAAAAGAGGAGAAAAAAUUAUUUUUGUAUUUUUUUCAAUUUAAUAGAUCGCCAAUUGAUCGUAAAGCAUAUAAGGAAAUGAAUGGUUUCUUGCUUUCAGACUGUUCAUUCGGAUUUUGAAACCAAUUUAAUAUGGUUAAUUAACAAAAUUUUUAUAAGGCAUUUCGAAAAAGCCCGCAGUUUUUAACUGUACCUACCUGCUUGCUAAUUGCAUAAUGUGGUAAAUAUUUGGAAUUUGCAUUGAUUUAGCUGUUUAUAAUCAGUUUACAUGCUCUUUCUAGCUGUUUAGGUAAAACUAGGUGUGCCAUUUAAUUUAAAACUUGCAGUAAAUUAACUGAGUUUUUUAGAUGAAAGUUAGAUCUAUAGCAUCUUAUCCAUUACGCUGAAGAACAACGAUAUUUCUUAUUCCGUACUAGUUUCCUUAUCCAUGUAGAUAGGAAAUAUUAACCCAUCGUACACUACGUCAAAUUACUCGGCAUUCAUAAAAAAAGUGAAAAAUCAAGGAGAAUAAUUCAAAAGCAAAAGCAGUAAUUGGAAAAUAUUUUUCAAUUUAUUACUUGCAUAUCUCUCAUUCGCAGAUUUUAUGGUCCUUUACUGCAUUUUACGCAUUUUCUUUCCUUAUAUGUUUUGCUGUCAAAUUGUGGGAUUAGUAGUUACUGAUAAUAAACCUAUAACAUUUUCUAUGUUCUCACCGGGCACUCGUUAAAUAUCCGAAUAUGAAUUGCAAAAUAACAUCAAUUAUAUAAAAGAGUGAAACAAACAUAAUGGACUCAAGUCUCCGCGAAUUGAGGUAUAAUUAAAGUGAUAUGAACGACUAAAGGACAAACAGUAUUCAUUGUAAAGUUAGUCUAUUAGUUAAAUGGUCUUCAAAUAAAUUAUAAUUAUUUGAUACAAGUAUGAACGUUUUGGUUAUAUAACUUAAUUUGAUUAAUCGUCGUCGACUUUUAUAUGACUGAGAAAAUCCAAUAGAUGUUUUGUAGGUUCUGUAGGUUGGGAUGAAUUUUCUGGAUUUACAAGUAAUCAAUGCCUUGGGCGAACAGCACUUGAUAGCGAAUGCGAGACAUUUAUGAUAUGCUUUUUCAUAUUUUGACCAGAAGAAUGCUAAUAUAAUGUUCAAAUAAGAUUCAUCAAGAAUUUACCGACAGAAUUUGAUUGGAAAGUUUUCUAGACUGCAGAUAGAAAACUGCGACUGAACAACAUUUUGUGUUUUGUAUCACCAGAGAAGAUUUUGACUUAACAGUGGAGCGUCCGAAUUUCCACUUCAUAACUAAUAUUAAGUAGUUCCAACUACUUUAACAAUCCCUGUAUCUUGACAAGUAUUCAAUAUUUCAUUAUAACAUCUAAUAUAACAAGACUUCGAAGAAGCGCGAGCUAAGGAAUGCGUUUCCUUUCAAAAUAAUGCUCCAUUUUCUCAAUAUCCACAAACUACAACCAGUAUCUUUAAGGUAUAAAUAAGUUUAGUAUUCUUAGAAAUAUCCGAAAUUUACGCUCCGAAAAAUAUCGCUACUAAUUUUAUAGUUAAUAGUGGAGUUUUUAUGAACGGUUAUAUGAUUAAUUGAACUAUGAAUAAUAGAGUAAAAUUUGUACAAAAUUCGGCUCACACCGUAAGUACGGUUCGGCAUGGAUGUUGCGAUUUUAUCACAUAAUGACGCAUAUGAUAAGAAAUGGAAUUUUUAGUUUUAUACUGUAAAACAGAGCAAUAAUUAUAUUUUAUACAAGGUAGGCACAAAGUUAUUGUGCAUAUUUCAAAAGGUUUUCUAAAAAUUGAAAAAUGGUCGGUAGUCUUAAAAAUGAAAUAAAUACAAAUUGAAGCGGUGUAUUUCGGUAAAUAGGAGGACUAAAAUAUUGCAAACCCUGAGCGUUUAAAAACCAACCUCCCCC
Long non-coding RNA from Dendroctonus ponderosae (mountain pine beetle), 28664 nucleotides. RefSeq lists it as uncharacterized. Lineage: Eukaryota; Metazoa; Arthropoda; Insecta; Coleoptera; Curculionidae. The transcript is spliced from 2 exons. The record is from RefSeq and is a predicted model, not a curated record.